CGAAUAGAAGUGAGCAUGCAGGCAUGAGUAGCGAUAAUUAAUGUGAGAAUCAUUAACGCCGUAAACCCAAGGUUUCCUACGCGAUGCUCGUCAUCGUAGGGUUAGUCGGGUCCUAAGUCGAGUCCGAAAGGGGUAGACGAUGGCAAAUUGGUUAAUAUUCCAAUACCAACAUUAGUGUGCGAUGGAAGGACGCUUAGGGCUAAGGGGGCUAGCGGAUGGAAGUGCUAGUCUAAGGUCGUAGGAGGUUAUACAGGCAAAUCCGUAUAACAAUACUCCGAGAACUGAAAGGCUUUUUGAAGUCUUCGGAUGGAUAGAAGAACCCCUGAUGCCGUCGAGCCAAGAAAAGUUUCUAAGUUUAGCUAAUGUUGCCCGUACCGUAAACCGACACAGGUGGGUGGGAUGAGUAUUCUAAGGCGCGUGGAAGAACUCUCUUUAAGGAACUCUGCAAAAUAGCACCGUAUCUUCGGUAUAAGGUGUGGUUCGCUUCGUAUUAGGAUUUACUCCGAAAGCGAAGAAACUUACAACAAAGAGUCCCUCCCGACUGUUUACCAAAAACACAGCACUCUGCUAACUCGUAAGAGGAUGUAUAGGGUGUGACGCCUGCCCGGUGCUCGAAGGUUAAUUGAUGGGGUUAGCAUUAGCGAAGCUCUUGAUCGAAGCCCGAGUAAACGGCGGCCGUAACUAUAACGGUCCUAAGGUAGCGAAAUUCCUUGUCGGUUAAAUACCGACCUGCAUGAAUGGCGUAACGAGAUGGGAGCUGUCUCAAAGAGGGAUCCAGUGAAAUUGUAGUGGAGGUGAAAAUUCCUCCUACCCGCGGCAAGACGGAAAGACCCCGUGGACCUUUACUACAGCUUGACACUGCUAUUUGGAUAAGAAUGUGCAGGAUAGGUGGGAGGCUUUGAGUAUAUGACGCCAGUUGUAUAUGAGCCAUUGUUGAGAUACCACUCUUUCUUAUUUGGGUAGCUAACCAGCUUGAGUUAUCCUCAAGUGGGACAAUGUCUGGUGGGUAGUUUGACUGGGGCGGUCGCCUCCCAAAUAAUAACGGAGGCUUACAAAGGUUGGCUCAGAACGGUUGGAAAUCGUUCGUAGAGUAUAAAGGUAUAAGCCAGCUUAACUGCAAGACAUACAAGUCAAGCAGAGACGAAAGUCGGUCUUAGUGAUCCGGUGGUUCUGUGUGGAAGGGCCAUCGCUCAAAGGAUAAAAGGUACCCCGGGGAUAACAGGCUGAUCUCCCCCAAGAGCUCACAUCGACGGGGAGGUUUGGCACCUCGAUGUCGGCUCAUCGCAUCCUGGGGCUGGAGCAGGUCCCAAGGGUAUGGCUGUUCGCCAUUUAAAGCGGUACGCGAGCUGGGUUCAGAACGUCGUGAGACAGUUCGGUCCCUAUCUGCCGUGGGCGUAAGAAGAUUGAAGAGAUUUGACCCUAGUACGAGAGGACCGGGUUGAACAAACCACUGGUGUAGCUGUUGUUCUGCCAAGAGCAUCGCAGCGUAGCUAAGUUUGGAAAGGAUAAACGCUGAAAGCAUCUAAGCGUGAAGCCAACUCUAAGAUGAAUCUUCUCUAAGCUCUCUAGAAGACUACUAGUUUGAUAGGCUGGGUGUGUAAUGGAUGAAAGUCCUUUAGCUGACCAGUACUAAUAGAGCGUUUGGCUUAUCUUUAAUAAAGCAU
This 1664-nucleotide ribosomal RNA is filed under the name Campylobacter coli. RNAcentral describes it as "partial 23S ribosomal RNA". It matches the Rfam family "Bacterial large subunit ribosomal RNA", at positions 1279 to 2925 of the family's 2925-position model. The record is from RNAcentral. Lineage: Bacteria; Pseudomonadati; Campylobacterota; Epsilonproteobacteria; Campylobacterales; Campylobacteraceae.